This 442-nucleotide ribosomal RNA is filed under the name uncultured bacterium. RNAcentral describes it as "partial 16S ribosomal RNA". It matches the Rfam family "Bacterial small subunit ribosomal RNA", at positions 338 to 795 of the family's 1533-position model. The record is from RNAcentral.
CCUACGGGUGGCAGCAGUGGGGAAUAUUGCACAAUGGGCGAAAGCCUGAUGCAGCAACGCCGCGUGAAGGAAGAAGGGUUUCGGCUCGUAAACUUCUAUCAACAGGGACGAAAGAAAUGACGGUACCCGAAGAAAAAGCAUCGGCUAACUCCGUGCCAGCAGCCGCGGUAAUACGGAGGAUGCGAGCGUUAUCCGGAUUUAUUGGGUUUAAAGGGUGCGCAGGCGGAGGUGCAAGUCAGCGGUCAAAUUGCGGGGCUCAACCCCGUACUGCCGUUGAAACUGCAUCCCUUGAGUGCGCGAGAAGUAUGCGGAAUGCGUGGUGUAGCGGUGAAAUGCAUAGAUAUCACGCAGAACUCCGAUUGCGAAGGCAGCAUACCGGCGCGCAACUGACGCUCAUGCACGAAAGCGUGGGUAUCGAACAGGAUUAGAUACCCCAGUAGUC